Molecule: ribosomal RNA, 336 nt
Filed under: uncultured bacterium
Lineage: Bacteria
Description: partial 16S ribosomal RNA
Rfam family: Bacterial small subunit ribosomal RNA
Source: RNAcentral
CCUACGGGAGGCAGCAGUAGGGAAUAUUGCUCAAUGGGGGAAACCCUGAAGCAGCAACGCCGCGGGGAGGAUGAAGGUUUUCGGAGUGUAAACUCCUUGUGGUAGAGAAGAGAAGGACGGUAGCUAACGAAUAAGAACCGGCUAACUCCGGGCCAGCAGCCGCGGUAAUACGGAGGGUGCAAGCGUUACUCGGAAUCACUGGGCGUACAGAGCGCGUAGGCGGGCUAGCAAGUCAGAUGUGAAAUCCUAGGGCUUAACCAUAGAACUGCAUUUGAAACUGGUAUUCUAGAGGAUGGGAGAGGUAGGUGUCAUUCUUGGUGUAGGGGUCAUAUCCGU